UGUGCAGUGGGAAGGGGGGCCGAGGCACUGUCCGAGAGUGAGUAGCAGGUCUCACAGUGAACCGGUCUCUUUCCCUACUGUGUC
Balaenoptera musculus (blue whale) is the source of this 84-nucleotide microRNA precursor. Ensembl annotates it as microRNA 128-2. Its record names the gene MIR128-2. Lineage: Eukaryota; Metazoa; Chordata; Mammalia; Artiodactyla; Balaenopteridae. The record is from Ensembl.